CUUUCCCUCUGUCGGCAUGCUUUACACAUGCAAGUCGAACGGCAGCGCGGGCUUCGGCCUGGCGGCGAGUGGCGAACGGGUGAGUAAUGCAUCGGAACGUGCCCAGUAGUGGGGGAUAGCCCGGCGAAAGCCGGAUUAAUACCGCAUACGACCUGAGGGUGAAAGCGGGGGACCGAAAGGCCUCGCGCUAUUGGAGCGGCCGAUGUCGGAUUAGCUAGUUGGUGGGGUAAAGGCUUACCAAGGCGACGAUCCGUAGCUGGUCUGAGAGGACGACCAGCCACACUGGGACUGAGACACGGCCCAGACUCCUACGGGAGGCAGCAGUGGGGAAUUUUGGACAAUGGGGGCAACCCUGAUCCAGCCAUGCCGCGUGCGGGAAGAAGGCCUUCGGGUUGUAAACCGCUUUUGUUCGGGAAGAAAUCCUCUGGGCUAAUACCCCGGGGGGAUGACGGUACCGGAAGAAUAAGCACCGGCUAACUACGUG
This 484-nucleotide ribosomal RNA is filed under the name uncultured bacterium. RNAcentral describes it as "partial 16S ribosomal RNA". It matches the Rfam family "Bacterial small subunit ribosomal RNA", at positions 34 to 507 of the family's 1533-position model. The record is from RNAcentral.